UGACGAAAAAACGUAAAUGCUGCGAACUGACGGAAUAGUUCGUUUAAGCCCGUAGGGUUACACUUGGUAGGCAAAUCCGCCAGGUGUCUGAAAGGUGAAAGUACCUUGAGUCGUCAGACAAGAGGAUAUGCAUCCAAGUAUGUUUCCGAGAAAAACUUCUAAGCUUCAGGUGAGUAUUACCCGUACCGCAAACCGACACAGGUAGUCAAGUAGAAUAUACUAAGGCGCUCGAGUGAUCCGUGGCUAAGGAACUAGGCAAAUUAACCCCGUAACUUCGGGAGAAGGGGUGCCUCCAGCAAUGGAGGCCGCAGAGAAAUGGCGGUGGCGACUGUUUAACAAAAACACAGGGCUUUGCAAAAACGAAAGUUGAAGUAUAAGGCCUGACACCUGCCCGGUGCUGGAAGGUUAAGAGGAGAGGUCAUCGCAAGAGAAGCUUUGAAUCGAAGCCCCAGUAAACGGCGGCCGUAACGAUAACGGUCCUAAGGUAGCGAAAUUCCUUGUCGGGUAAGUUCCGACCUGCACGAAUGGUGUAACGAUCUCCGCUCUGUCUCAGCCACGAGCUCGGUGAAAUUGUGGUAUCAGUGAAGACGCUGAUUACCCGCAACGGGACGGAAAGACCCCAUGCACCUUUACUAUAGCUUAACAUUGAUUUCGGGUAAGUGAUGUAUAGAAUAGGUGGUAGGCAUUGAAGCCGAGGCGCUAGCCUUGGUGGAGCCGAAAUGUGAAAUACCACCCUUCUCGUUCCUGAUGUCUAACCGCGGUCCCGAAACGGGAUCCGAGACAGUGUAUGGUAGGCAGUUUGACUGGGGCGGUCGCCUCCCAAAGAGUAACGGAGGCGCGCGAUGGUAGGCUCAAUCCGGUCGGAAAUCGGAUGUUGAGUGCAAUGGCAAAAGCCUGCCUGACUGCAAGGCCGACGGGCCAAGCAGAGACGAAAGUCGGUCAUAGUGAUCCGGUGAUCCCGCGUGGAAGGGUCAUCGCUCAACGGAUAAGAGGUACGCCGGGGAUAACAGGCUGAUCGCACCCAAGCGUCCAUAGCGACGGUGCGGUUUGGCACCUCGAUGUCGGCUCAUCACAUCCUGGGGCUGUAGCCGGUCCCAAGGGUAUGGCUGUUCGCCAUUUAAAGUGGUACGUGAGCUGGGUUUAGAACGUCGUGAGACAGUUCGGUCCCUAUCUGCCGUGGGUGUUCGAAACUUGAGAGGACUUCUUCCUAGUACGAGAGGACCGGAAGGAACGUAUCUCUGGUGGAUCGGUUGUCACGCCAGUGGCAUAGCCGAGUAGCUAAAUACGGAAUAGAUAACCGCUGAAAGCAUCUAAGCGGGAAACUAACCUCAAAACCAGGUUUCGCUUGAGAGCCGGGGAAGACUACCCCGUCGAUAGGCCAGGUGUGUAAGCGCAGCAAUGCGUUGAGCUUACUGGUACUAAUUGCUUGA
RNAcentral lists this ribosomal RNA (1430 nucleotides) under metagenome. RNAcentral's name for it is "bacterial LSU rRNA". It matches the Rfam family "Bacterial large subunit ribosomal RNA", at positions 1470 to 2912 of the family's 2925-position model. The record is from RNAcentral.